AGCAUUUACCUUUUUCUCCCUAUCUGAUCCCUCCAGAAUUUGAAAACUCUUGAUGAAUGAUCCAAAAGACCCAGAGAGAAUUCGAAUUAAAGAACCAGACACUCUCAGAUGUUCCUCUGCAUCAUCUCUAUAGUGGAGACUGAAUCCUAUUAAAAUACUGGAAACACAAGCACCCAGAAGAUCAAUUUCAUCUCUGCUGAAUGGGACCAUACAAGCAAUGCCACAGGAAACAGGAAUCAUGCCAUAGAAGAACAUCACAACAGGAUCACCCAAACCUUGGCUGGCUUCAUACUCUAGACACUGACUUCUCCAAAUGGACAAGUGAACCUCUAAUAGAUCUCAAGUUGCUGUACAGAAGACGGUCCCCUAAAACAGGAAGCAGCUGGAGCGGUCUUCAUCCCCAUUCCCCAAGAUUGACGAAUGAUCAAAAGAGAAGGGGGAUUGAAACUGAAGAUGAAGGAGUUAAAAUUUCCCUGGAUUAGGGUGAAACUGUGCCUUGUACCCACAAGGUUAACGUGGGAAACAAAAUAACCAAAGUUUCUGAGCUUGCCUUGCAGAACAGCAGGAGGACCACUGAUAAGAGAGGAACUUGCUGACAGCCCCCUGCCUGACUAAGCAUCUUGGAGGAACAUUGAGAAGCUAAAAUGACUGAUUGCAAACUUUAGAUGUCAAAGACUAAAGACUAAAAAGCCACCACUUGAAACAUGUAGAACAGACAGUCACACCUGUGCAGAGGACACUUAGAACUUCAGCCCAGAAGGCCACAUGCCCCCCUCCCCUACCUAAAACCCCGAACAAAAACCCUUGCUUGUAGCUUUUUGGAAGUUCAAAAUUACAGUGUUAGCUGCCCAUUCCCCUUACUCAGUGCUUUGCAAUAAAAUUCCUACUUUCUUCCACUA
Long non-coding RNA from Equus caballus (horse), 899 nucleotides. RefSeq lists it as uncharacterized. The record is from RefSeq and is a predicted model, not a curated record. NCBI's taxonomy places the organism in Eukaryota, Metazoa, Chordata, Mammalia, Perissodactyla, Equidae.